GACGAACGCUGGCGGCGUGCUUAACACAUGCAAGUCGAACGGAAAGGCCCUGCUUUUGUGGGGUGCUCGAGUGGCGAACGGGUGAGUAACACGUGAGUAACCUGCCCUUGACUUUGGGAUAACUUCAGGAAACUGGGGCUAAUACCGGAUAGGAGCUCCUGCUGCAUGGUGGGGGUUGGAAAGUUUCGGCGGUUGGGGAUGGACUCGCGGCUUAUCAGCUUGUUGGUGGGGUAGUGGCUUACCAAGGCUUUGACGGGUAGCCGGCCUGAGAGGGUGACCGGCCACAUUGGGACUGAGAUACGGCCCAGACUCCUACGGGAGGCAGCAGUGGGGAAUAUUGCACAAUGGGCGGAAGCCUGAUGCAGCAACGCCGCGUGCGGGAUGACGGGCUUCGGGUUGUAAACCGAUUUCGCCUGUGACGAAGCGUGAGUGACGGUACUGGGUAAAGAAGCACCGGCUAACUACGUG
This 468-nucleotide ribosomal RNA is filed under the name uncultured bacterium. RNAcentral's name for it is "partial 16S ribosomal RNA". It matches the Rfam family "Bacterial small subunit ribosomal RNA", at positions 28 to 507 of the family's 1533-position model. The record is from RNAcentral.